UACGGAGGGUGCAAGCGUUGUCCGGAUUUAUUGGGUUUAAAGGGUGCGUAGGUGGCUUGUUAAGUCCGGGGUGAAAGCCCACAGCUCAACUGUGGAACUGCCCUGGAUACUGGAGAACUUGAGUACAGACGAGGGCGGCGGAAUGGAUGGUGUAGCGGUGAAAUGCAUAGAUACCAUCCAGAACCCCGAUUGCGAAGGCAGCUGCCUAGACUGUAACUGACGCUGAGGCACGAAAGCGUGGGGAGCGAACAGG
This 253-nucleotide ribosomal RNA is filed under the name uncultured bacterium. RNAcentral's name for it is "partial 16S ribosomal RNA". It matches the Rfam family "Bacterial small subunit ribosomal RNA", at positions 524 to 776 of the family's 1533-position model. The record is from RNAcentral.